Molecule: non-coding RNA, 260 nt
Organism: Pelobates cultripes (western spadefoot toad)
Lineage: Eukaryota; Metazoa; Chordata; Amphibia; Anura; Pelobatidae
Source: the annotation of a GenBank genome assembly
GUUUCUUUGGUAUUGAUAUAUUUUGGACCAGAAUACAUCAACUUUAAUGUUAGUAAGUCCCAGUGUAAAGAUCAUAUUAACUGUGCCGAAGAAUUUGGUUCAAUGCUAGAAUUGUAUUUCGUCUCCAAGUGCUCCUGAGUGGCUAUUGCAUGAUAAUGCAACCCAGAUUGAUAGAACAUAGGAGGACAAAGCCCUCCUGCUGUUUAUGAGAAUAUCUGCAUAUGCUAGGUAAAAUAUUAAGGACACCAGGAUGCCUGAAU